GGGGGCGCACUGGUUUCGACGUGGAUCUGGAAGCUGAAGUUGCAGGUCGAGGCGCCGCUGGCCUCGUAAAAAGCGGCAAAACAGUAAUUGCCAACAACGAUUACGAAUACGCCUACGCUGCCUAAACGGCGGGGCAAAUGACCGCACAAGACGGUCACGUCGCCAGAGCUGAUGCCUGAUACGUUCUGGCGGCGACAUCCAUCAGGCUGGUGGUCGGCCGGUAUCUACCGGGGUUUGACCGCGAGAUUGCACCGGAAGACUGGCUGUGCGACACCUGUUCAGGGGUUUCCGCACGGCGAGAUACAAACCUGAACUAAACCUGUAGAUACUUUAUGUGGAAUAUUCGCGGACGGGGGUUCGACUCUCCCCGCCUCCACCA
Molecule: transfer-messenger RNA, 379 nt
Filed under: Desulfovibrio sp.
Lineage: Bacteria; Pseudomonadati; Thermodesulfobacteriota; Desulfovibrionia; Desulfovibrionales; Desulfovibrionaceae
Rfam family: transfer-messenger RNA
About the family: Bacterial tmRNA, also known as 10Sa RNA or SsrA, is named for its dual tRNA and mRNA-like properties. Its role is to liberate the mRNA from a stalled ribosome.
Source: RNAcentral